Molecule: ribosomal RNA, 610 nt
Filed under: Amanita eijii
Lineage: Eukaryota; Fungi; Basidiomycota; Agaricomycetes; Agaricales; Amanitaceae
Description: eukaryotic LSU rRNA
Rfam family: Eukaryotic large subunit ribosomal RNA
Source: RNAcentral
UAACAAGGAUUCCCUUAGUAACUGCGAGUGAAGCGGGAAUAGCUCAAAUUUAAAAUCUGGCAGUCUUUGGCUGUCCGAAUUGUAGCCUAGAGAAGUGUUGCCCGUGCUGGACCAUGUAUAAGUCUCCUGGAACGGAGUGUCAGAGAGGGUGAGAAUCCCGUGUUUGACAUGGACUGCCAGUGCAUUUGUGGUAUGCUCUCAAAGAGUUGAGUUGUUUGGGAAUGCAGCUCUAAAUGGGUGGUAAAUUCCAUCUAAAGCUAAAUAUUGGCGAGAGACCGAUAGCGAACAAGUACCGUGAGGGAAAGAUGAAAAGAACUUUGGAAAGAGAGUUAAACAGUAUGUGAAAUUGUUGAAAGGGAAACGUUUGAAGUCAGUCACGUUGGUCAGGGAUCAACUCAGCUAAUUUGCUGGGUGCACUUCUUGGCACAAUGGGUCAACAUCAGUCUUGACUGCUAGAGAAAGGCGGAGGGAAUGUGGCACCUUUUUGGGUGUGUUAUAGUCCUCAGUCAUAUGCAGCAGUUGGGACUGAGGAAAAGCAGCACGCCGCAAGGCCGGGUCGUUUUGACCACGUUCGUGCUUAGGAUGUUGGCAAAUAAUGGCUUUAAGCGAC